This is a long non-coding RNA of Helianthus annuus (common sunflower), 1183 nucleotides long. RefSeq lists it as uncharacterized. The record is from RefSeq and is a predicted model, not a curated record. The transcript has 10 exons. NCBI's taxonomy places the organism in Eukaryota, Viridiplantae, Streptophyta, Magnoliopsida, Asterales, Asteraceae.
UCAUUCCUAUCCAUCUCCGUCUCUCUCUCUGUUGCGGCGAUUAAGCGUUUGAUGAAGAUAUCACCAGAUUGGUUCAGAUUUUCCUAUCUUCGGCUACUAUUGAUGGUGGUUAUCUGGUUAAGUUGGCCAUUCCGACCACUCGACAACCCUAAGGGUUUUCUUUCACCAGACGGCGAUGUAUUUUCCGGCAUAGUGACACAAGAUCGAUUCGACUUCUCGGUACCGUCUUUGUAACCUUAUUAGCAAAAUUUUAGGGUUUUUUUCUCCAGCGAUUCCGACAUUAGAUCUACUCUACUGGGUUCAACUUCUCGGUAUUACAAAACCCUGACAAGCAUUUUGAGGAAGCAAAAUCAGUUAUAGAUAGUGUUUUAGAAUUCCUGAACACUAACGAAAACUCUGAAGAUAAUAUGAAGGAGAAUGAAAACCCUCAAAAGAAUAGACUAGCUUUGGCCCGGAAGCAUGCUAAGUUAUCAAUGAAGGCUGAUACAAGAUUCCUUUUCAGACCAACAAAUCCUCUCUUGUUAUGAAAAAUGCCGAGCUAAUUCAGAACAAGACUUUGGAAGGCAUAAGUGAUAUCCGUGACGAGAGUGAUCGAUCUGGAAUGCGAAUAGUCAUUGAGCUUAAAAGGGGGGUCUGAUCCGGCCACUGUUCUGAAUAAUGUAUAUCGUUUCAUUGCUGCAACAUGGUUGGGUGAGUUGUUUUAUAAUUGUGUUUUUUUUUCAGUUAAACGUCAUAAAAUGUUUUUUUGUGCGUAUCUUUUGUUUUUUGCUUUUGCAAGAGGCGAAGAGUUGAUCGUGUUCUCUAUUUCAGUGAUAAGGGUAUUGUGUAUUCUGCACCAGCGUACAAAAUUCCGGAAUGUUCUCGUGCAGUUGCAGGUACACCUCUGAUACAGAACCCCAGUCCAAACGGCUUUGAGGCGAAGGGGCGUCACGCUUUCGGAUACCCUUUGUUGCUUAUUCGGGUUCGAAGUAGAAAAUGAGAUCAGCUCUUCGCCUCUUGCGUUCUCUCUUGCGCUAUUUGGUGGAUUGUUAUGGUCAGACCGAAUCCCUUUUCCCUCAGAAUUCAUACAAUGUGCUCUGUCGAAAUUUUGAUUCGGGAUUGGCAAAAUGUCGUCACUUGGAGAGGGUAAAAUUGUUGGCUUAUAGCCCUCUGGCAAUGGGUUUGCUUUCGGGAAAGUAUCUGU